RNAcentral lists this long non-coding RNA (6332 nucleotides) under Cucumis sativus (cucumber). RNAcentral describes it as "long non-coding RNA (CSAT_LNC003152)". The record is from RNAcentral. Lineage: Eukaryota; Viridiplantae; Streptophyta; Magnoliopsida; Cucurbitales; Cucurbitaceae.
GAAUGCAUAUUGUGAUUGUCAUGGAAUAUAUAUAUAUGUGUGUGGAUGUGGACAGGACGAAAAUUGUAGAUUAUGCUUGUAUGAGAUGCAGAUGCGAUCUUGUGAUUGUCGUUUAGAUUGGGUGUCGUUACGCUAAAGUAUGACUGUGUGCUGGUGAUCUGAGGGGUGUAUUGACUGUAUAGUUUGAUUGACUGAUGUAUUAGUAUGUUAUUGACAGACAUAUGACCUAAGUGAGAUAAGUUGACUGUUAGGACGUUGAGAGAAAGAACUCUAUGUUUUGAAGUAUCUGAAAGAUGGGUUGAAUGGAAUGAGGGGAUAAAUUGUUAGGUUGUAUUGGGAUGAUUACCUUGUAGGUGUCCCACGGGAUCACCAAUUUAUUUUGCACCUUCGGGAGCAUUUGACUGAUAUGUGUUCUGCAGAACACUUGACUGAUAUGUACGUCCCUCGGGGCGUCAGACUGAUAUGUACGUCCUUCGGGGCGUUAGACUGAGAUGUGUAUCCUACGGGAUCACAAGACUGCGACUGUACAGGGUGUCCCAAUAGAACUUUAACAAUUUAUUUUCCCCUGACGAGACCAGUAGAGGGUCUCUUACUGAGUAUUUAAAAUACUCACCCUUCUUAUGUUUAAUUUUCAGGCAAAGGUAAUAAAGGCGGCAAACCGGCGAGGGGCAGGAAGGAAGCGUGAUGCCAUAGGAAACGUGUAAUUGCUUCCGCUUAUUUAAGAUUGAUUUGAAAUUUAGUUUACAAACGUUUGUUGCAAACAGUAUUAUUUUUAUGUUUUCUUGAAUGUUUAAAAAUCAGGCCUGACUUGAAGAUGUUUUUUUUAAAUUGACUUACGUUUCAUUUUUAUAACAAAGUCUUUUGUUAAAAAUUAACGACCUCGACUUACUUAGAAAAGUUGGGUCGUUACAGUUGGUAUCAGAGCCUAAGUUUUAGGUUCUGUAGACUGACUUACGAUGUAAGUCUAUGUUUUUGUGUCCUAUGGCUAACGCGACCCUUCGUCUCUCGUCAGGUAUGCUUUAUGCUUAUAUGUAUGGUUUAUGUAUAUGACCUUGCCUAAGUUAAACUAGAAUUACAUGAAUGUUAUGAUUUAAUGGUGAAGGAUUUAAUGGUGAAAUUUAGGAAAAAUGUUGCCAUGUAGAGGUGUUCAAAGGAGUGGUCGAGUAGUAGAAAAGUAAGACGUUGUUAGCGAAAUUGUCUGUUUUGUGAUUGGAAAUCUAAGAAAAAUAAGUUAUGUAGGUGGUUUUAAAGAGGACUAAAUACACGGUCAAGUUUAUACGAAACACAUUAAAUGGUUUUAGAAUGGAGGUAUUGGAAAAGAAACAAGGAAGAUGAGCAUGGUUGUCUUGAUGUGACUUUAAGAAACAAUUUUGAGUUUCUCGUGAAUGAAAAGUUACUAGUUUGGAGUUUGAAAAUUGGAAUGUAGUUUAACCAUGUAAACAUAAAAUGUUCAGCGAAAAUGUAGUUUCUAAUCCUUCUCCAGAGGCUAGUUUCAAGUACAAAGAGGUUGGAACUAUCGUUUCGCUAAAAGUUAUCCCAACUAUGAAGGUUAGUAAGUUGCUUGACCAGGGUACCUGUUGUAUUUGACUAUUGUGGUAGACACCAGAGAAGUCGAUGUUCUUUGUUAUUUGAAUCAGUGGUGAAAAAGUAUUAUGAUAUUUGUCUAGAAGAGUUUCUAAGAUUACCGCGCUAAACAGAAAUUGGUCUUCCUAUUGAGAUAGAGUUAGACUCGUUCCUAUAUCUAAAGCUUCAUACAAAAUGGCCCCAACAGAGUUGAAAGAUUUGAAGGUGCAAUUGAAAGAAAUGUUUGACAAGGACUACAUUCGACGAAGUAUGUUAUCUUGGGGUGCACCAAUUUUUGUUUAUUAAGAAGAAAGAUGGGUCGAUGCACUUAUGUUUUGAUUGUAGAAAGUUGAAUAAGGUGUCGGUUAAGAAUAAAUAUCUUUUACCAAUGAAUGAGGAUUUGUUUGAUCAACUGCAAUAAGUCCGUGUUCUUUAAGAUUGAAUUACAUUCAGGUUAUGACUUGUUGAGGAUUAGAGAACAGUGACAUUCCUAAGGCAGAUUUUCGUUCGAGAUAUGGACAUCAUGAGUUCAUUAUGAUGUCUUUUGAGUUGGCAAAUGCUCAAACAAUGUUUACGACUUGAUGAACAAAGUGUUUAACGAUCUCUUAGACACUUUCGUGAUUGUAUUUAUUGACGAUAUCUUAAUUUAUUCCAAAAUAGAGACAGCGCAUGAGGAGCAUUUAACAUGGUUUUAGAGGCUCUUCGAGUCAACAAAUUGUAUGCAAAGUUUUCAAAAUGUGAGUUUUGGAUGAGGCCAAGUAUCUUUCCAAGCCAUGUGGUAUCUAGAGAUGACAUUUAUGUGGAUCUCAUAAAAGAUUGAAGUUGUUACCAGUUGGCCUCGACUUUCAUAGUCAGUGAGGUUCGUAGUCUUUUUGGGUUCAGCAGGUUAUUACUAACGGUUUGUAUAAGAAUUUUCUCGUAUAGCUACUCCUUUGACUCAGUUAACUAAGAAAAGGGACUCUGUUUGUUUGGGACAAAGCCUAUGAGGAUAGUGUUCAGGAUCUUAAGCAGAAGCUUGUACAACUCCCGUGCUUACCGUACAUGAUGGUUCAGAAUGUUCCGUAAUUUAUAGUGAUGCUUUUAGGAAAGUUUAAAAGGUAUUCUUAUUCAACAAGUUAAAGUAGUUGCUUGUACUCCUCGUGAGGAAAAUUGUCCAACUUAUGAUAUGGAAUUGACAGUUGUGGUUUUUACAUUAAUGAUUUGAAGGCACUAUAUGUAAUGAUGAAAAGAUAUAGAUAUUUUCUAACCAAAAGAGUAUAAAAUACUUCUUCACUCAAAAGAAGUUGAGUAUGAGAUAGCAAAGAUGGUUUCAGUUAGUAAAUGACUAUGAUUGUGAGAUUUUGUACCAUCUAGGUAAGGCGAAUGUGGAAGUUGGUGCUCUUCGUAGAAAAGUAUCACAUUUUGACAGCACUUAUUACCAGACAGGUUUCAUUAGACAAAAACCACGAGAGAGCUGAGAUUGUAGUUUCAGUGGGGGAAGUCACCUCACAGUUAGCUCAGUUGUCAGUACAUCCGAUCUUGAGACAAAGAAUUCUUGUGGUUCAAUUCAUUGAUCCUUAUUUGAUUGAGAAGCAUCGCCUAGUAGAAGUAGGGCAAGUUAAGGAGUUUUCCAUAUCCUUUGAUGAUGAACUUAUGUUUGAGAGAGAAUUAUGUGUGCCAACAGAAAAUGCAAUUAAGACAAGGUUAUUGGUUGAGACUCGUAGUUUCCCAUUUCUCAUGCAUCCAAGUAGCACAAAAAUGUAUCCGGAUCUGAAAAGAGUUUGUUACUAGCGUAAUAUGAAGAGAGAAAUGGAAGAUCUUGUUAGUAAGUGCUUGGUGUGCUAGCAGGUUAAAGCACCAAGAUAGAAACCAACAGGUUUGUUGCAACCUUUGAGUAUAUUAGAGUGGAAGUGGGAGAAUGUAUCUAUGGAUUUUAUUAUAUAAUUGCCUAAAACCCUGAAGGGUUACACAGUGAUUUGGGUUAUUGUCGAUAGGCUUACGAAAUCGGCACAUUUCAUUUCAAAAAAAAAAAACCAAAAUCCACUUAUACUGCUAGUAAGUGGGCAGAGUUGUAUUUAACUGAGAUUGUGAGACUGCAUGGAGUGCCUGUAUCGAUUGUUUCUGAUAGGGAUGCACGGUUUACUUCCAAGUUUUGGAAGGGACUUCAGACUGCUAUGGGUACGAGAUUGGAUUUCAGUACAGCCUUUCAUCCACAGACUGAUGGUCAAACUGAACGUUUGAACCAAGUUUUAGAGGAUAUGCUACGAGCUUGUGUUAUAGAGUUUCCAGGUAGUUGGGACUCUCAUCUACAUUUGAUGGAGUUUGCUUAUAACAACAGUUUCCAGGCUACCAUCGGUAUGGCACCAUUUGAGGCUUUGUAUGGCAAAUGUUGUAGAACCCCUGUUUGUUGGAGUGAGGUUGGUGAACAUAGAUUGAUGGGACCUGAAUUAGUUCGGUCUACUAAUGAGGCUAUUCAAAAGAUUAGAGCACGUAUGCAAACAGCGCAGAGUAGACAGAAGAGUUAUGCGGAUGUACGGCGAAAAGACCUUAAGUUCGAUGUGGGAGAAAAGGUAUUCUUGAAGGUAGCACCUAUGAAGGGUGUUAUGCGUUUUGAGAAGAAAGGAAAGUUAAGUCCUCGUUUUGUUGGACCAUUUGAGAUCUUAGAGAGGGUUGGUGUUGUGGCGUAUCGCUUGGCAUUACCACCAUCUCUCUCUGCAGUUCAUAAUGUUUUUCAUGUUUCGAUGUUGAGGAAGUAUGUGGCCGAUACGUCUCAUGUAGUGGACUAUGAACCCUUGGAGAUUGAUGAGCAUUUGAGCUAUGUAGAACAACCUGUGGAGAUUCUGGCUAGAGAGGUAAAGAUGCUUCGUAAUAGAAGCAUUCCAUUAGUAAAGGUUUUGUGGCGGAAUCAUCGAAUUGAAGAGGCGACAUGGGAGCGAGAGGAAGAGAUGAGGACUCGUUAUCCAGAGUUAUUUCAGGAUUAGAACUUUCGAGGACGAAAGUUUCUUAAGGAGGGAAGAAUGUAAUGCCCCAAAGGUAUGUAUAUAUAUAUAUUUUGUUUUUAAUUAUUAUAUAUAUAUUAUAUUAUAUACUUAAUUUAAAUAAAAAAGAAAAGAAAAAGAAAUUUAUCUCUCUCUCUCUCGCGCGCACACAACCCCUCUCUCAUUUUUCUUUUCUUCUCCUUCCGGUACCCUAGCAGCCGCCCACCCAUUUUCCCUAUUCUUCUUCCCGUCCUGCCGCAGCCAACCGCAGUCAGCCGCCCCAUCCGUUCGCACAGCAACUGCCGUCGGCCAUCUCCAUCUUCUCUUUUCCUCUCCGUUCCGUCCAAACCCAGCCGGACGUCGCUGCAACCGUCGGCCGCCAUCUCUGUUCGCGAAGCAAGGCCGCCGCGUGAACCUGUAACCGCCGGCUGUCUCCCCUCUCCUUUCUCCUCUGUUUUCAGCCCAGCCGCCGCCGAUUCCUUCUCCUCCGUUGUCUGCACUGCCGCGCGACUCUCCGGCCAUCUGUAUACGGUCUCUCCGCCGCACGUCAUCUCUUCGCAAAGCCACUGCUCGAUUUCUUUCGCGAAGAUUUGGGUAAGUUGCAAAAAGAUUCACAUUGGGUUGAAUUUAAAUGACUGAUGCGUUGAAGGGAAUUAUUGAGAAAUUGUCUUAAUGUUUAGGUUCGUUCUUCAUAGACUUCAACGUGGUUAAGGAGCUUAACAAAUUUGAAGGUAAGGAUUUUCUACUGGACUCACUUAUGAUUGUGAAUUGUAUGUCUGAAUGAUUAUCUUUGACUGAGUAAAGAUGUUGAGAUGAUACUUAUGAAUGUACACUGUGGAUUGACUGAAAAUAUAUAUAUAUGCAUAGGAAUUGAAGUAGACUUAAUGUUGAAUGCAUAUUGUGAUUGUCAUGGAAUAUAUAUAUAUGUGUGUGGAUGUGGACAGGACGAAAAUUGUAGAUUAUGCUUGUAUGAGAUGCAGAUGCGAUCUUGUGAUUGUCGUUUAGAUUGGGUGUCGUUACGCUAAAGUAUGACUGUGUGCUGGUGAUCUGAGGGGUGUAUUGACUGUAUAGUUUGAUUGACUGAUGUAUUAGUAUGUUAUUGACAGACAUAUGACCUAAGUGAGAUAAGUUGACUGUUAGGACGUUGAGAGAAAGAACUCUAUGUUUUGAAGUAUCUGAAAAAUGGAUUGAAUGGAAUGAGGGGAUAAAUUGUUAGGUUGUAUUGGGAUGAUUACCUUGUAGGUGUCCCACGGGAUCACCAAUUUAUUUUGCACCUUCGGGAGCAUUUGACUGAUAUGUGUUCUGCAGAACACUUGACUGAUAUGUACGUCCCUCGGGGCGUCAGACUGAUAUGUACGUCCUUCGGGGCGUUAGACUGAGAUGUGUAUCCUACGGGAUCACAAGACUGCGACUGUACAGGGUGUCCCAAUAGAACUUUAACAAUUUAUUUUUCCCCUGACGAGACCAGUAGAGGGUCUCUUACUGAGUAUUUAAAAUACUCACCCUUCUUAUGUUUAAUUUUCAGGCAAAGGUAAUAAAGGCGGCAAACCGGCGAGGGGCAGGAAGGAAGCGUGAUGCCAUAGGAAACGUGUAAUUGCUUCCGCUUAUUUAAGAUUGAUUUGAAAUUUAGUUCACAAACGUUUGUUACAAACAGUAUUAUUUUAUGUUUUCUUGAAUGUUUAAAAAUCAGGCCUGACUUGAAGAUGUUUUUUUUUUAAAAAUUUCUUACGUUUUGUUUUAUAUUAAUCAAAGUCGUUUAUUUUGUUAAAAAUUAACGAUCUCGACUUACUUAGAAAAGUUGGGUCGUUACAU